RNAcentral lists this ribosomal RNA (480 nucleotides) under uncultured bacterium. RNAcentral describes it as "bacterial SSU rRNA". It matches the Rfam family "Bacterial small subunit ribosomal RNA", at positions 29 to 507 of the family's 1533-position model. The record is from RNAcentral.
ACGAACGCUGGCGGCGUGCCUAACACAUGCAAGUCAACUUGAACUGAAGGAGCAAUCUGACAGUAGAGUGGCGCAAGGGUGCGUAACGCGUAAGUAACUUGCCCCAAGGUAAGGAAUAACGUCGAGAAAUCGGCGCUAAUACCUCAUAAUGCAGCGGAUCCGCAUGGAUAUGUUGUUAAAGGUUUACCGCCUUGGGAUAGGCUUGCGUCUGAUUAGCUAGUUGGUGUGGUAACGGCACACCAAGGCUACGAUCAGUAACUGGUCUGAGAGGAUGAUCAGUCACACUGGAACUGAGACACGGUCCAGACUCCUACGGGAGGCAGCAGUGAGGAAUAUUGGGCAAUGCUCGAAAGGGUGACCCAGCAACGCCGCGUGGAGGAUGAAGGUAUUCUAUAUCGUAAACUCCUGUGAGAGCAGACGAAAGACAGAUUAUUAAUCUGGAUGACUGUAUGCUCAGAGGAAGCCCCGGCUAACUACGUG